GGUUAUUACAAAAUGUUGAGUAGAAUUCCCUGUGCCAUAUGGUUCAGCUACAGCACAAGAUCUGUGGGCAGAUGUCAAACGUGCCAGGCUCUUCUGAAAUGUAGGAAAACACUUCGAUACACAACGCUCUCUGGUGUGACAGAUCUUGGCACGAGUAAUUCCAAACCUCAGAGCUCUCUCAUCAUCCAGCCCCAAGCAAUUACACAAGCACUUGCAAUCCUGGCGGAGUUAGGAGUGUGGAUGUGAGUGAAGCAGACAAGGAGGAAACAGACGGUGACAUCUGGAGAGGAGCUCGGCCAGGCCCCGGGUCGCCUGCCUCCAGCGCCUCCCCUUCCUCUGUCCCUGCGGUCCCCCAUCAGCUCACGAUGUCACAGGACCAUCUCCCUGGACUGCCCAGGGCUCUGUCCUCAGUCAGCCUCCAGCCCCUCCAGGCAGGCGACACCCGGGAUGUCACCUCGGUCAUUUUCCCGAGCUCCGUGCCUAAGCGUGGAUCUGACCUUGUAUCCUCUGAAAAUGGUCUUAUGUGUAAACUCUUAAAUAAUCUUUUAAAAU
This is a long non-coding RNA of Cervus elaphus (red deer), 552 nucleotides long. RefSeq lists it as uncharacterized. Lineage: Eukaryota; Metazoa; Chordata; Mammalia; Artiodactyla; Cervidae. The transcript is spliced from 3 exons. The record is from RefSeq and is a predicted model, not a curated record.